Long non-coding RNA from Musa acuminata AAA Group (dessert banana), 1061 nucleotides. RefSeq lists it as uncharacterized. Lineage: Eukaryota; Viridiplantae; Streptophyta; Magnoliopsida; Zingiberales; Musaceae. The record is from RefSeq and is a predicted model, not a curated record. The transcript has 2 exons.
UUGUUCUCCUCUUUCCAACCUACCCCGCUCGACCGCCGCCGCUCCUGCACCACUCGCCGCCGCCGCUCCUGCACCGCUCGACCGCCGUCUCUCCUGCACCGCUCGCCGCCGGUAACAAAUCGGGUUCUGGUCUCCUUUGGUACGGGAACAAAUCGGACCGGUUGUCAUUACCCUAAUCUCUAAUUUUGAGUUCUGGAGGGUCGGAUUGAUUGGCACUGUAUGUGGAUUGUCGGAAAGGUCGGAUCUUUCCGUUGUCUUUUUCGCGUGGUCUCGGUUGUGCCCAUCGGAACCGCCGUUGAUCGGCGAAAAGAUUUGUGCCCCAUUAGUUUUUUCGGUCACCGGUCUCGGAGCCGGCGGCCAAGAUUCGUUCUUGGAGUCGAUUUCUAACGCGGACCGCUCUGGUGAGACGGAUUUGGCCUCGUAUACGCCGGGUCGUUCUUCGCCGUCGUCGCCAUGGCGAGCUCGUCCGGGUGGGUCGAUUACUGGAGGAAGUUCUUCCGAAGCGCCAACUCCGACAUCUUCGAGGUCAUCGAGCAAGCGAUCCUGGUGGGAUCAGAUCGUGGAGAAGCUCUUCGCCGCGCUGCUGCCGCGGUGCUUCGGCUCUGACCGCGUCGAGCUGAGAGGGGCCGAGGGGGACGGCAGCAUGAGGAGGCUCGGAGAGAAGGAGAGCAAGGCGGACAGCGGUACCGACGGGCCCGAGUCCUUGAACGGGGCGGUGAGCAACUAGACGAAUGACGAGGCGGAGGCACUCACGGAGGAUAUCGAAGAGGAGGGCCAGAUCGUUGGAGAGGUCAUGAGGCUCAAAGAUAUUCUCGGAAACCAACAUGAUGAGUCUGAUGCUGUCUUGUCGGAGUCUUUAAGGAGGCUGCAACUGAUGGAACUUUCUGUUGAUGUCCUCAAGGUGUUGAUCUUGCAUUCCUUUGUAUCCUUUUUGUUCUAUUCUGGACUCAGGAUCAGGAUCAGGACGCAUACACUAUUGCAGGAAUUUGAUGAUUUCAAAGUGCUUGUAACUCCUUCGCCCCCCCACCGUAUACAAUCGCACUUUGGAUUGCGCGUGAUCA